RNAcentral lists this ribosomal RNA (714 nucleotides) under uncultured Corynebacterium sp. RNAcentral describes it as "bacterial SSU rRNA". It matches the Rfam family "Bacterial small subunit ribosomal RNA", at positions 65 to 791 of the family's 1533-position model. Lineage: Bacteria; Bacillati; Actinomycetota; Actinomycetes; Mycobacteriales; Corynebacteriaceae. The record is from RNAcentral.
AACGGAAAGGCCCUGCUUGCAGGGUACUCGAGUGGCGAACGGGUGAGUAACACGUGGGUGAUCUGCCCUGCACUUCGGGAUAAGCUUGGGAAACUGGGUCUAAUACCGGAUAGGAGCCAUCCUUAGUGUGGUGGUUGGAAAGUUUUUUCGGUGUAGGAUGAGCUCGCGGCCUAUCAGCUUGUUGGUGGGGUAAUGGCCUACCAAGGCGGCGACGGGUAGCCGGCCUGAGAGGGUGUACGGCCACAUUGGGACUGAGAUACGGCCCAGACUCCUACGGGAGGCAGCAGUGGGGAAUAUUGCACAAUGGGCGCAAGCCUGAUGCAGCGACGCCGCGUGGGGGAUGAAGGCCUUCGGGUUGUAAACUCCUUUCGCUAGGGACGAAGCUUUUUUGUGACGGUACCUAGAUAAGAAGCACCGGCUAACUACGUGCCAGCAGCCGCGGUAAUACGUAGGGUGCGAGCGUUGUCCGGAAUUACUGGGCGUAAAGGGCUCGUAGGUGGUUUGUCGCGUCGUCUGUGAAAUUCUGGGGCUUAACUCCGGGCGUGCAGGCGAUACGGGCAUAACUUGAGUGCUGUAGGGGUAACUGGAAUUCCUGGUGUAGCGGUGAAAUGCGCAGAUAUCAGGAGGAACACCGAUGGCGAAGGCAGGUUACUGGGCAGUUACUGACGCUGAGGAGCGAAAGCAUGGGUAGCGAACAGGAUUAGAUACCCUGGU